UAAUACGAAGGGGGCUAGCGUUGCUCGGAAUCACUGGGCGUAAAGCGCACGUAGGCGGAUCUUUAAGUCAGGGGUGAAAUCCCGAGGCUCAACCUCGGAACUGCCUUUGAUACUGGGGAUCUCGAGUCCGGAAGAGGUUGGUGGAACUCCGAGUGUAGAGGUGAAAUUCGUAGAUAUUCGGAAGAACACCAGUGGCGAAGGCGGCCAACUGGUCCGGUACUGACGCUGAGGUGCGAAAGCGUGGGGAGCAAACAGG
This 256-nucleotide ribosomal RNA is filed under the name uncultured bacterium. RNAcentral's name for it is "partial 16S ribosomal RNA". It matches the Rfam family "Bacterial small subunit ribosomal RNA", at positions 521 to 776 of the family's 1533-position model. The record is from RNAcentral.